AGCGAACGCUGGCGGCAGGCUUAACACAUGCGAGUCGAGCGGGCACUUUCGGGUGUCCGCGGCGGACGGGUGAGUAACGCGUGGGAACGUGCCCUCUGGUUCGGAAUAACUCAGGGAAACUUGAGCUAAUACCGGAUACGCCCUUUUGGGGAAAGGCUUGCUGCCGGAGGAUCGGCCCGCGUCUGUUUAGCUAGUUGGUGAGGUAACGGCUCACCAAGGCGACGAUCAGUAGCUGGUCUGAGAGGAUGAUCAGCCACACUGGGACUGAGACACGGCCCAGACUCCUACGGGAGGCAGCAGUGGGGAAUAUUGGACAAUGGGCGCAAGCCUGAUCCAGCCAUGCCGCGUGAGUGAUGAAGGCCUUAGGGUUGUAAAGCUCUUUUAUCCGGGACGAUAAUGACGGUACCGGAGGAAUAAGCCCCGGCUAACUUCGUG
This 435-nucleotide ribosomal RNA is filed under the name uncultured bacterium. RNAcentral describes it as "partial 16S ribosomal RNA". It matches the Rfam family "Bacterial small subunit ribosomal RNA", at positions 29 to 507 of the family's 1533-position model. The record is from RNAcentral.